GUGGGGAAUUUUGGACAAUGGGCGAAAGCCUGAUCCAGCCAUGCCGCGUGCAGGAUGAAGGCCUUCGGGUUGUAAACUGCUUUUGUACGGAACGAAAAGACUCCUUCUAAUAAAGGGGGUCCAUGACGGUACCGUAAGAAUAAGCACCGGCUAACUACGUGCCAGCAGCCGCGGUAAUACGUAGGGUGCAAGCGUUAAUCGGAAUUACUGGGCGUAAAGCGUGCGCAGGCGGUUAUAUAAGAAAGAUGUGAAAUCCCCGGGCUCAACCUGGGAACUGCAUUUGUGACUGUAUAGCUAGAGUACGGUAGAGGGGGAUGGAAUUCCGCGUGUAGCAGUGAAAUGCGUAGAUAUGCGGAGGAACACCGAUGGCGAAGGCAAUCCCCUGGACCUGUACUGACGCUCAUGCACGAAAGCGUGGGGAGCAAACAGGAUUAGAUACCCUAGUAGUCC
Molecule: ribosomal RNA, 450 nt
Filed under: uncultured bacterium
Lineage: Bacteria
Description: partial 16S ribosomal RNA
Rfam family: Bacterial small subunit ribosomal RNA
Source: RNAcentral